UUCUAUCAGAAAAUAGAACUAAGAAUCACUAUAACAACUCCUGCAAUUCUUGCCCAUUUUUCAAAAAUUGAAAUCCAUAAGUUAUCAUGGCUCCCGUGUUGUCUACCAUUCUCCUGUUCUUUUAUGUACUCUCUGCUGUCGAAGGAGCUGAACAGGAACUUCCUGGCAGGAUAAUUCUAGGUUCUUCACUCUCUCCAACAUCUCAUCCUCCUUCAUGGUUCUCCC
This 225-nucleotide unclassified non-coding RNA is filed under the name Hevea brasiliensis (rubber tree). Lineage: Eukaryota; Viridiplantae; Streptophyta; Magnoliopsida; Malpighiales; Euphorbiaceae. The record is from RNAcentral.